This 492-nucleotide ribosomal RNA is filed under the name uncultured bacterium. RNAcentral's name for it is "partial 16S ribosomal RNA". It matches the Rfam family "Bacterial small subunit ribosomal RNA", at positions 29 to 507 of the family's 1533-position model. The record is from RNAcentral.
AGUGAACGCUGGCGGUAGGCCUAACACAUGCAAGUCGAACGGCAGCACAGUAAGAGCUUGCUCUUACGGGUGGCGAGUGGCGGACGGGUGAGGAAUACAUCGGAAUCUACUUUUUCGUGGGGGAUAACGUAGGGAAACUUACGCUAAUACCGCAUACGACCUACGGGUGAAAGCAUGGGAUCUUCGGACCUUGCGCGAUUGAAUGAGCCGAUGUCGGAUUAGCUAGUUGGCGGGGUAAAGGCCCACCAAGGCGACGAUCCGUAGCUGGUCUGAGAGGAUGAUCAGCCACACUGGAACUGAGACACGGUCCAGACUCCUACGGGAGGCAGCAGUGGGGAAUAUUGGACAAUGGGCGCAAGCCUGAUCCAGCUAUACCGCGUGGGUGAAGAAGGCCUUCGGGUUGUAAAGCCCUUUUGUUGGGAAAGAAAAGCAGCAGGUUAAUACCCCGCUGUUCUGACGGUACCCAAAGAAUAAGCACCGGCUAACUUCGUG